Molecule: long non-coding RNA, 321 nt
Filed under: Elaeis guineensis (African oil palm)
Lineage: Eukaryota; Viridiplantae; Streptophyta; Magnoliopsida; Arecales; Arecaceae
Description: long non-coding RNA (EGUI_LNC005010)
Source: RNAcentral
ACCAGUGGUUGGCCCUGCCGCACCUCGACCUCAAUAUCAGGACCCAACAUAUAGGCAUGGACCAUACCAUCAAUUUCAAAAUGCUCCUCAACCGUCUACUACUGGUCAUAGCUCAGCUUUUGAGAAAAAAGUUCUGAAAGAACUAGAACGAUUAGAAGUCAACACUCAGACCUUUAACUCCCACACACAAUCCAUUGCUAAGCUAGAGAUCCAAAUAGGUUAACUAGCGACUGCAUUCAGUAGGAGGGAAGGAGAAAAAUUAUCUAGCCAACCCGAGAGCAACCCAAGAGGGCAAUUUGUGAUUGAGAGCUCUAAUACCCC